Molecule: long non-coding RNA, 614 nt
Organism: Tarenaya hassleriana
Lineage: Eukaryota; Viridiplantae; Streptophyta; Magnoliopsida; Brassicales; Cleomaceae
Exons: 2
Source: RefSeq, a predicted model, not a curated record
AAAACAUAAAAAAAUUGUGUGUUUUUUUUUAAAGUUUUCCUGUGGUUAAAAUUCAUACUACUAUGGAAAUAAUAAUAGUGAACCAUGAUAAUAUUUGUCGUCGGUCCAAUUCCGAACGUAGAUUGAAAAUUUCAGUAAGGUCCAGUGGGUCCCACUACACGAGGCGACAUGACAUGUCAGCACGGAGGCCGUCGUGACGCACAGCGACAGCGGAGGGGGCUCCGCGUUGCGUUUCGCUUCACGGCUUCCGUUUGGAAAAUGGCGCAUUAUGAUUGGUCAGUCAUUCUUGCUACCUGUCACGCUUUUAUAAAAAAAGAAAAGAAAAGGUCAAAUAAUAUAUAUAUAUAUAUAUAUUAAAAGGUGAAACUUUUCUUCAACAUCUAAAUAGAAGAAUUUCCUCUCGUGCUUCGCCAUCACUGGAACGCGCCUACGAGGCCGGACCGUUCUUCUCCUCUUCACUCCUCCCUUUUUUCUCAUCGAUAAAACCCACGAGAAAAAUUCGACCCUUUCUCUCUCUCACGUUUUCGAUCAUCUUGGGAUUUCCUCGAAGUCUGGUGGGUCGUCUCGUUUCUCUCCCAAUUUCAGUUUCUUCUUCAUCAGAGACCCGUUGAGAG